Canis lupus familiaris (dog) is the source of this 2837-nucleotide long non-coding RNA. RefSeq lists it as uncharacterized. The record is from RefSeq and is a predicted model, not a curated record. The transcript is spliced from 5 exons. Lineage: Eukaryota; Metazoa; Chordata; Mammalia; Carnivora; Canidae.
AUGCACUUCUCACCCUGUCAGAUCAGCACCUGUUGUGCCCAAGAUUGCGAAUGCGAGAAAACCGCCAAGGAGCCGAGGCCGAUGCAAGUACAUGAGGGUUUAUUGAGAAGCUCGAGCUUGGGUCCAAGUACACCCGACACAGCGGAGCAGGGACUUGGAACCUGAGGUUAUUGACUACUGCUGAUGGAUGAGGCGAAAUACUCACAGUGCCAGGAAGAAAUGAAUUCGCUGGUACUGCCAGGAGAAGAGACCAGCGCGGCUAAAAUAGGCGAUGACCAUGGACAAGAGAUACUGGCGGAAAGAGGAGAAAAGCCGUCAUAGAAGGGUCCCAUCCUGGGAGAGGAAGACCAGUGAGUGGCAUCGGGGUACAAAGAUGGCCUGUCCUCCCCUCCCCGCCCCCGCCCCGACACAGCCGAAGGCACUUAGAUUCAAAAGGCCAGUAAGCGCUAAGAUGUCUCAGGAGUGCAACUGCAGCUAAGCUUUCUCAUCCCUCUGUCAUUUUUAAGUGUCCCCGAUGAGGGGUCAGUAUGGAGUCCUCCAAGGAUGGAGAGAGAGAGCUCAGCGACCUGCAAAGAAUUAUUUUCCAUUGGAAAAGCGUCGCCGUUGGAAGUUUCUGGUGUUUUCAGGAAAAAAGAAUAAGGUUGGAGGGUGCUGUUCCUACCGAGCAGCCUGUUGAACGCCUCGUGGUGCUCAGGGAGCACUGAAGAUAGCCGCUGUCUCUUCAGCUUCAUCUUGAGGCCACUCAGUGUCUCCACCACCCAGAUGUCGUUGGCCUCAGGGGCUGUCUCCUCAUCGGAUUCGAUGUCUCUCUUCCUUCCGCGGGACUGAGGCAAGGGGCAGGGGUCUACAAAGGGGGCUGAGUGAAGAAACCAGGCUACAGUACAAAGCUUCUUCUGUCUUUGGAAUUCAGCCACGCUUUCCACACCCCCAAACCCAAACUCCCUCUUCAUUUCUCUGUGGCCUCAUAGAUGAUUGGCCUCUCCAAAACCACCUUUCAUCUUUGUCCUUCAUUCAUAUGCAUUUGCCCCCAUUCAUCUUUGCCACUGUUUCAUACCCCCCACCACGCCCUCAAAACUCUUCCUCGUAGAUCAUUUCUCCCAUGAGGAUAAUGGGAUAAUUUCCUGUCUUCCUUUAUCUCCUCUUUGGAUGUCAUCUCCUAACCCUCCUUCCUUGCUUCCUGGGUUUUCCUUCCAGUGCGAUACCCUUGUCCCCGGCUCCCGUGCUCUCUUCUCCAACCCCUGGCUUUCUGAAUCUCUCCUGUCACGUGCAGUCUAGUCAGACACACCUUCCUGGCUUCUGUACCCAUUUGUACUCACUAGUCAAGCCUGUCAAGUCCCUUCUCCCUCCUGCUUCCUCACCUGAUGGUCCUGGGCUUUCUUCAUCUACCACGGCCUCCGGGGGGUACCCUGAUGUGCUAGGCUGGGGGCUCUGGCCCUCAGACUGGGCGGACGGUUGACAACUGGCCAUGAUUUCUCCCAAGCUCUUUGUGCCCUCCCAGGAGACUCAGACCCUCCUCUUCUCAAACUCCCCUUCUGGCUUCUGGGUGAACCCAAGCCCUGUUAUCCCUUCUCUAAGCCGGGGCCAAGCUAGGAGUAUGGACAUGCUCUGCGAAGAUGCUCUUGUCCACCUCCGUUGCCAAGAACCAUGGAGUCCAGUCUUUCCAAUCAGGAAGGUCAGAAGCCUCUGAUGUCAUGCACCAUUCCAGCCUGGCAGCCAUUUUGAAGGAAGACACGUGCAACUGCGAGACCGAGGUCCACUUCUGGAGUUCAGGAUCAAGGCUAUCUCAUGUCGCCGAUCCAGCCUGCAACCGUCCUCCAAAACUGUCCUCGGGGUGUCUGGAUCACUCUACUCCUCUCCAGCAGAUGCGGGGCUCUCUGCAUCCUUCUAUUCCUGUUUCACGGUGCAGUCUGGCAGCAGAGGGAGGAAACAGACGAGGGAAGACCUAGAGACACCCUAGGAAGACGGCUUGCAGUGCUAACUCACAGAACAGAAUUCUGGGAUGGGGAGACGGGAAGAGGUUCUGGAUACCGACUUCGAAGAUCUGGUGUCUGAAGCUCAGUGUUAAAGGGAAAAUUUGGACGCAAACAUCCAAGUACAGAGAAGAGAAUGGGAUGACACAGGGAGAGAAGACUGACAUCUACCAGCCAGGGCGGGAGGAUGCAACAGCCCCUCCCCCACAGCACUCAGAAGGAACCAGCCCUGCCCACACCUGAAUCUCAGACUCCCAGCCUCCAGAACAGUGAGAGAAUGUAUUUUUGUCGUGCCCACACCUGAAUCUCAGACUCCCAGCCUCCAGAACAGUGAGAGAAUAUACGUUUGUCGUGACAGCCUGAAAGCUGCCUGGUUUGUCUUACUUUGUUACAGCUUCCCUGUAGGCAGAUCCACACAGUAUUUUUGAAGAAGAGGGAAUUCAGAUUUGACAGUCACUUUCCUGAUACUUCUGCUGCCCCUUUCCCCAAAGCAAGACGCGUCCAUGUCGGGAGGCUUCAAAGAAUGGGUUCUUUCACACAGAUUAGAACCUUGAGCUUUCUUAGCCUCUGGCAUUUCCUGGUCAAGGUGACUGUUCAUUUUGGAAAACAUGGUGGAAAGACUUCAAGAGAAGAAUGAUUUACAAAUCUUGAAGAUGGGUGUCAGUUAGCUUAAUAAAACUGAUGCAUUAAAGAGAGAAAAAUAAACGGGAGCAAACCGAGGCAACUACUUAGGAAAUUAAGGGUGGGAAAGGCUUCUUCAAAGACAGUGUCUAAACAGAUGAAAAGUAUGAAGAGGAAGUGAACGAUUUGAACACAGAAACAAUAUCCAUAUGACAGAAAAUAAAGUAAAACAUUAGGUUAAAAAGA